UAGGCCUACGGGGCGCAGCAGUCGAGAAUCAUUCACAAUGGGGGAAACCCUGAUGCAGCGACGCCGCGUGCGGGAUGGAGGCCUUCGGGUUGUAAACCGCUUUUGUUCAAGGGCAAGGCACGGUCUUUGGCCGUGUUGAGUGGAUUGUUCGAAUAAGCACCGGCUAACUACGUGCCAGCAGCCGCGGUAAUACGUAGGGUGCAAGCGUUAUCCGGAUUUAUUGGGCGUAAAGGGCUCGUAGGCGGUUCGUCGCGUCCGGUGUGAAAGUCCAUCGCUUAACGGUGG
This 285-nucleotide ribosomal RNA is filed under the name uncultured bacterium. RNAcentral describes it as "partial 16S ribosomal RNA". It matches the Rfam family "Bacterial small subunit ribosomal RNA", at positions 334 to 618 of the family's 1533-position model. The record is from RNAcentral.